ACUACAAAAGAAAAACCAAUUAAUUGCAGACAUGCAAUUAACUAUAUUCUGAUUAAAAGUAAAUAAAUUACAAAACAAAAAUAAAGAAAUUGCGUAUUUGACAUAGUGCAACUUGUACAUGCUGCUAGUGCAAUUGUAAAAUACAUGUAAACAGUUUGAAUAUUAGGUUCCUGCAAGUAUUGCUACUCAAAACAAUAUCAGUUGAACUACCAGUUUUGAUGUGGUGAAGGGACAGAGGUGGCUAGGACUGGCUAUAAUCUCAAAUACUUAUUCUUUAUGAUGGUUCAACUUUAUCCUUGUGAAUGACAUAUCAUCAUUUAUUACUAAAUGCAGGCAAAGAAUAGGGCAAAAUUAAGACUGGAGUACAAAGUAUUACAGAUCACUUAAACUAUGGAUGGGAAUAACUUUCAGGUAAUGUAAAUUUCAAUACUUAUGUUUUGGUUUAUGAUAAAUCUAUUUUCCAUGUACUUGCUACAAAUACAGGUGAAUCUUGCUAAAUUUAACAUUACUGCAGGUACCAUAUACACAUGGAUGCGAAAACACACAAACAAACUUUGAUCUCACAACAACAGAUGGGAUAAAGAAGUGGCAAGAAACACUACAACUCAUGUACCAGACUAACCAGGUACUAGAUUAAAAUAUUGCUAAAAAAUCAUUUACCCAGUACAACUGGACAUAUGUCAACAAGUAUAUAUGUUGAAAUAGAUGCAGGGUUGAGGUGGACAAAAUACAUUUUCACAUUCUAUGUCAACAAAUCUAUCAGACAUCAGUUACAUUGACAGAAAUCAAUUACUUGAGGUAAAAAAGAAUUACAGAGAAGCAAUUAAAAAUUUAAGAAUAUCUAAUAAAAAUCAAAAUAAGUAUUUAAGUGCUCUAUUUUUUGUGAGCAAAAUAGUAUGUAUAUGACAACAAGCAGAGUUGAUGAUUAUCCAACAUCAAUGA
RNAcentral lists this long non-coding RNA (942 nucleotides) under Sorghum bicolor (sorghum). Its description in RNAcentral is "long non-coding RNA (SBIC_LNC000769)". The record is from RNAcentral. Lineage: Eukaryota; Viridiplantae; Streptophyta; Magnoliopsida; Poales; Poaceae.